UACAGAGGGGGCAAGCGUUGUUCGGAAUUACUGGGCGUAAAGGGCGCGUAGGCGGCCUUCUAAGUCGAACGUGAAAUCCCCGGGCUCAACCCGGGAACUGCGUCCGAUACUGGGAGGCUUGAAUCCGGGAGAGGGAUGUGGAAUUCCAGGUGUAGCGGUGAAAUGCGUAGAUAAUCUGGAGGAACACCGGUGGCGAAGGCGGCGAUCCUGGACCGGUAUUGACGCUGAGGCGCGAAAGCUAGGGGAGCA
RNAcentral lists this ribosomal RNA (249 nucleotides) under uncultured bacterium. Its description in RNAcentral is "partial 16S ribosomal RNA". It matches the Rfam family "Bacterial small subunit ribosomal RNA", at positions 524 to 770 of the family's 1533-position model. The record is from RNAcentral.